RNAcentral lists this ribosomal RNA (860 nucleotides) under Stephanospora poropingao. RNAcentral describes it as "eukaryotic LSU rRNA". It matches the Rfam family "Eukaryotic large subunit ribosomal RNA", at positions 81 to 923 of the family's 3401-position model. Lineage: Eukaryota; Fungi; Basidiomycota; Agaricomycetes; Agaricales; Stephanosporaceae. The record is from RNAcentral.
UAGUAACUGCGAGUGAAGAGGGAAAAGCUCAAAUUUGAAAUCUGGUGGUUCUUGUGACCAUCCGAGUUGUAAUUUAGAGAAGUGUUACCCGCGCUGGACCGUGUACAAGUCUCCUCGAACGGAGCAUCAUAGAGGGUGAGAAUCCCGUAUAUGACACGGACUCCCAGGGCUUUGUGGUGCGCUCUCAACGAGUCGAGUUGUUUGGGAAUGCAGCUCUAAAUGGGUGGUAAAUUCCAUCUAAAGCUAAAUAUAGGCGAGAGACCGAUAGCGAACAAGUACCGUGAGGGAAAGAUGAAAAGAACUUUGGAAAGAGAGUUAAACAGUACGUGAAAUUGUUGAAAGGGAAACGCUUGAAGUCAGUCGCGUCUCUCAGAGAUCAACCUGGCCUUUUCGCUUGGUGCACUCUCUGUGGGAUGGGUCAGCAUCAAUUUUGACUGGGGGAAAAAGUUGGUGGGGAUGUGGCACCCUUGUGGUGUGUUAUAACCUGCUUGCAUAUACCUCUGUUGGGAUUGAGGAACUCAGCACGCCUAAAGGCCGGACUUUAGUCACGUACGUGCUUAGGAUGCUGGCAUAAUGUCUUCAAUCGACCCGUCUUGAAACACGGACCAAGGAGUCUAACAUGCGCGCGAGUGUUUGGGUGAAAAACCCAAGUGCAUAAUGAAAGUGAAAGUUGAGACCUCUGUCGUGGAGGGCAUCGACGCCCGGAUCAGAUCUUUUGGGACGAUUCCGAGGUAGAGCGUGCACGUUGGGACCCGAAAGAUGGUGAACUAUGCCUGAAUAGGGUGAAGCCAGAGGAAACUCUGGUGGAGGCUCGUAGCGAUUCUGACGUGCAAAUCGAUCGUCGAAUUUGGGUAUAGGGG